RNAcentral lists this ribosomal RNA (253 nucleotides) under uncultured bacterium. RNAcentral's name for it is "partial 16S ribosomal RNA". It matches the Rfam family "Bacterial small subunit ribosomal RNA", at positions 524 to 776 of the family's 1533-position model. The record is from RNAcentral.
UACGGAGGGGGCAAGCGUUGUUCGGAAUUACUGGGCGUAAAGGGCGCGUAGGCGGCCUGCUAAGUCGAACGUGAAAUCCCUGGGCUCAACCCAGGAACUGCGUCCGAUACUGGUUGGCUUGAAUCCGGGAGAGGGAUGUGGAAUUCCAGGUGUAGCGGUGAGAUGCGUAGAUAUCUGGAGGAACACCGGUGGCGAAGGCGACAUCCUGGACCGGUAUUGACGCUGAGGCGCGAAAGCCAGGGGAGCAAACGGG